RNAcentral lists this transfer RNA (62 nucleotides) under Polionemobius taprobanensis. Its description in RNAcentral is "tRNA-Thr". The record is from RNAcentral. Lineage: Eukaryota; Metazoa; Arthropoda; Insecta; Orthoptera; Trigonidiidae.
GUUUUAAUAGUUUAUAAAAAAUUCUGGUCUUGUAAAUCAGAGAAGAUUUAAAUCUUAAAACU